Lolium perenne is the source of this 1783-nucleotide long non-coding RNA. RefSeq lists it as uncharacterized. The record is from RefSeq and is a predicted model, not a curated record. Lineage: Eukaryota; Viridiplantae; Streptophyta; Magnoliopsida; Poales; Poaceae.
CCGUUGUAUUCUUCCGUAUCCCUUUCCGCCUCGUGUACUUCUGUAUCUCCUCCAAUCACGGAACAGUAAUAUACGUCGACCACCCCCAGUCCCCACCCUCGUGAAUCUCUCCAGAUCGAAGAGGAGGCGACCAAGUCAUCGCCGAGCCGCCGAAGAAACGGGCCUGGCGGCGGAGCAGAUGGUGGUUGAGGAGAUCCAGCAGCCUCCGCCAUAGAUCUCUGCCCUCCUUCACAGACCCACUACCUACUCUCGCUGGCAGAUGAAGACCACGCCGUAUCCCUCCUCCUGAAGCCUGGAAGGUCACAGGGAUCGCCUCCGCCCCCUCGCUCUAGCUGAGAAGAGCUCGCCGCGACCCUCCUCCUCAUCCUAGCGCGUCGGCGGUCGCUUGGGCAGAGCCGCACAGGUUGAUCUGACCAACUGACCGUCGGCACCCACCGGGGGUUUGAGGUUCUGCUGCCCUCCUUUUCUUGUAGCAAAUAUUUGAGGGUUAUGCAAUUUUGUUAUGGGAAAGUCCAUGACUAGUGCAUUCGCUUGAGCAAAAAUGAGACGAUAAGUGUACCAGUAAUUAUUGCUGCAUUUGAUUUAGCAAAAACUAGAUCAUAUAAUUAUUGUUGUAUCUGUGACGACCAGAAAUUUCACUCAGGGCUCGAGCAGGUCUCUAAUGGCUUUUUUGUCAUAAGUUUCGUUAAAAUCUGAGAUAAAUUCAUAUACACUAUGAACCAGGCUUCUGUUUCAAAGUAUAUCUAGAAUAGUGUUUUAUUGGAAACAACAAGUACGACAUUGGUGUGGAACCAAUGGAAAAUUUCUAAACUGAUUUUUAAUUUGUGCCAAAUUAAUGCAAAUUCUGUGAACUAUGAACCCCAUUUGAUUGAACAGGUAUGCCCCCAUGUUUUUUUUUUGUAUUAUAUGAUUUGAUAUAUACAAAUCAUGUUCUCCAUAAUUCAUAGUUGUUCCUUCCUACGACAAGCUAACAAACUAUUCUUCCCAAAUGCUGAAUAUUUACUUUUUUACAUCAACGAUGACUGUGGUUUCUUUGUCAUCCGACUCCUUGAAUGCUACAAUGAAAAAGAACUUGUUGGCAAUCACAAGAUAUACAUGUCUGUUUGCCGGACUGCAGUGUACGAUACUCUCAUCCACCACCGUCUGAAUGAUUUGAACCCGGUCAGAGCUGGCAGCUCUUUUCCGAAGAAUUGAACUCAUGGUUUCUCUUUUGUUAUGCCGAUGACUGAGCAUCAUGUUAUCUCACCUUGGAAAAUAUUAAGUAUAUCAAUGUAGCAGACAUCUCUAUUGUAUGUACGUGGACUGGUUAUCCAUUUCUCUCUGAGAUACUUUAGGAUAUUUGCAACAUACUAAAUGAAUCAGACUUGUAGUUGGUUUAAGCAUUCUUUAUUUCCCAACCUAGCAAAGUAGGAACGUACGUAUAUGCAAAUAUUUCUCUUAUGUUUCCUUUUUUUCUUUGGUGUAAUUACUUCUUGUAUCAUUAUAUAUUGAAUUAAAAUCGCAUCUGUUAUUGUCUCAUAGAUCCUUUUUAAUUUAGAUUUUCCAGGACUGUCCACCCCUUGAAGCCUCUACACCGGGGAAACAAUUGAAACCUCUACUGAAACAUGACCCGUCCUUGAUAGUAUUAAUAUGUUAUUGGUUAUUUUUUUAAAAUAUUUAUGUAAUAUAGUGAUAGGUUUGUGGAACUGGAAUGGAUGAAUUGUAUGUGGUCAGAAUUUCUGGUCAUCUUUUUAUAUAUUUUUUUAAUUUCCACUGGGACUCCAAGUGGAUCCUUUUGAUGAAA